This 716-nucleotide ribosomal RNA is filed under the name Nassella trichotoma. RNAcentral describes it as "eukaryotic LSU rRNA". The stretch from base 294 to 449 matches the Rfam family "5.8S ribosomal RNA". The record is from RNAcentral. Lineage: Eukaryota; Viridiplantae; Streptophyta; Magnoliopsida; Poales; Poaceae.
CAGUCCUUAUCAUUUAGAGGAAGGAGAAGUCGUAACAAGGUUUCCGUAGGUGAACCUGCGGAAGGAUCAUUGUCGUGACCCUGACCAAAAUAGACCGCGCACUCGUUAUCCAUCCCGUCGAUGGCGGCAUUGACCGCCAUUCGGCCAAGUCCCCGACCACCUCCCCUCCUCGGAGGGGGGGCCGGGGCAACAGAACCCACGGCGCCGACGGCGUCAAGGAACACUAUGCCUAACCCGAGGGUGUGGCUGGCUUGCUAGCCACCCCUCGUGUUGCGAUGCUAUCUAAACCACACGACUCUCGGCAACGGAUAUCUCGGCUCUCGCAUCGAUGAAGAACGUAGCGAAAUGCGAUACCUGGUGUGAAUUGCAGAAUCCCGCGAACCAUCGAGUCUUUGAACGCAAGUUGCGCCCGAGGCCACCCGGCUGAGGGCACGCCUGCCUGGGCGUCACGCCAAUACACGCUCCCACCUCCCUCAAUGGGUAGUGGGAUGCGGAUUCUGGCCUUCCGUGCUGUGAGGCGCGGCAGGCCGAAGAUCGGGCUGCCGGCGUAUCGUGCCGGACACAGCGCGUGGUGGACUUCUACUUAGCGCAGUUCCAGCACGUAGCCGGCGUAGUGGCCCCAAGGACCCAACGAACGGAGCGCAUGUCGCUCCGACCGCGACCCCAGGUCAGGCGGGACUACCCGCUGAGUUUAAGCAUAUCAAUAAGCGGAGGAU